GAUGAACGCUGGCGGCGUGCCUAAUACAUGCAAGUCGAGCGAACGGACGAGAAGCUUGCUUCUCUGAUGUUAGCGGCGGACGGGUGAGUAACACGUGGAUAACCUACCUAUAAGACUGGGAUAACUUCGGGAAACCGUAGCUAAUACCGGAUAAUAUUUUGAACCGCAUGGUUCAAAAGUGAAAGACGGUCUUGCUGUCACUUAUAGAUGGAUCCGCGCUGCAUUAGCUAGUUGGUAAGGUAACGGCUUACCAAGGCAACGAUGCAUAGCCGACCUGAGAGGGUGAUCGGCCACACUGGAACUGAGACACGGUCCAGACUCCUACGGGAGGCAGCAGUAGGGAAUCUUCCGCAAUGGGCGAAAGCCUGACGGAGCAACGCCGCGUGAGUGAUGAAGGUCCUCGGAUCGUAAAACUCUGUUAUUAGGGAAGAACAUAAGUGUAAGUAACUGUGCACAUCUUGACGGUACCUAAUCAGAAAGCCACGGCUAACUACGUG
Molecule: ribosomal RNA, 497 nt
Filed under: uncultured bacterium
Lineage: Bacteria
Description: partial 16S ribosomal RNA
Rfam family: Bacterial small subunit ribosomal RNA
Source: RNAcentral